UGGCAGUGCCGUACUAGCUGGCUGUUUGGGUAUAACAGUCUCUAGCUGCACUCCACA
Molecule: microRNA precursor, 57 nt
Filed under: Gekko japonicus
Lineage: Eukaryota; Metazoa; Chordata; Lepidosauria; Squamata; Gekkonidae
Description: Gja-Mir-34-P3a_pre stem-loop
Source: RNAcentral